GCAUCCUACGGGAGGCAGCAGUCGGGAAUAUUGCGCAAUGGAGGAAACUCUGACGCAGUGACGCCGCGUAUAGGAAGAAGGUUUUCGGAUUGUAAACUAUUGUCGUGAGGGAAGAAAUUGACAGUACCUCAGGAGGAAGCUCCGGCUAACUAUGUGCCAGCAGCCGCAGUAAUACGUAGGGAGCGAGCGUUGUCCGGAAUUACUGGGUGUAAAGGGAGCGUAGGCGGGAUUGCAACUUGGAUGUGAAAACUGCGGGCUCAACCCGGAGCGUGCAUUCAAAACUGCGAUUCUUGAGUGAAGUAGAG
RNAcentral lists this ribosomal RNA (305 nucleotides) under uncultured bacterium. RNAcentral describes it as "bacterial SSU rRNA". It matches the Rfam family "Bacterial small subunit ribosomal RNA", at positions 334 to 656 of the family's 1533-position model. The record is from RNAcentral.